This 253-nucleotide ribosomal RNA is filed under the name uncultured bacterium. Its description in RNAcentral is "partial 16S ribosomal RNA". It matches the Rfam family "Bacterial small subunit ribosomal RNA", at positions 524 to 776 of the family's 1533-position model. The record is from RNAcentral.
UACGGAGGGUGCAAACGUUGCUCGGAAUCAUUGGGCGUAAAGCGCACGUAGGCGGCCUGUUAAGUCGGGUGUGAAAGCCCUGGGCUCAACCCAGGAAGUGCAUUCGAAACUGGCGGGCUUGAACAUGGAAGAGGGUCGCGGAAUUCCCGGUGUAGAGGUGAAAUUCGUAGAUAUCGGGAGGAACACCAGUGGCGAAGGCGGCGACCUGGGCCAAUAUUGACGCUGAGGUGCGAAAGCGUGGGGAGCAAACAGG